This 744-nucleotide ribosomal RNA is filed under the name Triticum aestivum (bread wheat). Its description in RNAcentral is "partial small subunit ribosomal RNA". The record is from RNAcentral. Lineage: Eukaryota; Viridiplantae; Streptophyta; Magnoliopsida; Poales; Poaceae.
AUGGCAUGCAUGCACUCAAAACUGCUUCCACCAAAGAGGACUGCGAUUGGUACAGAAUAUGAUGGAAAUGACAUUGGUGUGGAACAAUUCCGAGGAGAGAGCGACAUCAUAGCUACCGCCGCUGCCUUCGAGCAAGGUCCCGUCGUCCACAAGCGCUACCUCAUCCACGCCAGUGAUAUUUCACUUCAUCGGCCGUCUGGACUCCAAUCGACUCAAGUGCCCAGUACCAGCUACAACCAAGGGCACUUUCAAGAAGGGAGGGGUGUCAUCACCGUCGCCGUCAUCUCCGCACAAGGCUCCAUCGACCAUGAGUACUACCUCGACUCCGAUCAUCGCUGUGUUGACAAGGGCUACUUCCUCGUCGCCUUCUUAGGUGGGGCUCCAAUUGGCCACAUCAACUGCUCCUACAUCGUCGAAGUCCACCACGGCUUUGGCGACCAUCGUGACUAUGAUCAAAUCAAACAACAUCGACUGCAAUGGGAUUCGGGCGGUUCUGGGUGGUGUCGGCUUGGGGUCAAGCCGAAUUCAAGAAGGGAGGGAUGUCAGGAGCCCUCCCCUGACUGGUACGUGGGCUUACCUCGGGACCGGUACAUGGGCCUGGCCCAUCGGGAGACCAUCGAGCGCUACAAACUACAAGUACCAGGGAGAAGGCAACGCUCUACUCAUCCAGUGGAUCACGAAACCCGGCGGCAGCGGCUAUCUUCUUCCCCUUCCUCCUCCUUCCCCAAUUCUUAUAUCCUGUGA